RNAcentral lists this transfer RNA (73 nucleotides) under Zootermopsis nevadensis. It matches the Rfam family "tRNA". From Rfam's summary of the family: Transfer RNA (tRNA) molecules are approximately 80 nucleotides in length. Their secondary structure includes four short double-helical elements and three loops (D, anti-codon, and T loops). The record is from Rfam by way of RNAcentral. Lineage: Eukaryota; Metazoa; Arthropoda; Insecta; Blattodea; Termopsidae.
GCCACGGUGGUCUAGCGGUUACAACGCUGGCCUUGUAAUCCUGGGGUCUCGGGUUCGAUUCCCGGCGGUGUCC